This 296-nucleotide long non-coding RNA is filed under the name Manihot esculenta (cassava). RNAcentral describes it as "long non-coding RNA (MESC_LNC009448)". The record is from RNAcentral. Lineage: Eukaryota; Viridiplantae; Streptophyta; Magnoliopsida; Malpighiales; Euphorbiaceae.
UAUGCAUGUUGUAGAGUAAGAAAAUGCAUGAUUGAAUGAGUUGGGAGGCGUUUAUGCAUGUUGAGCUGAGUUUCUGCCCUUUGGGAAGAACUCAGGUUCGGCAGCCGAAGGCUCUUUUGGCCGCCGAACCUGCCUUUGGUAGCAUGUAUCGGCUGCCGAACCCUGCCCCCGAAAGUGGACUUUCGGCUCUGGAAGGGAGUUUCGGCCGCCGAAGGUGCCGCCGAACAUGCAUGAGUUUCGUCUCUGGAGGGAACCUUCGGCCGCCGAAAGUACCGCCGAAGGUGCAUGACUUUCGG